RNAcentral lists this ribosomal RNA (761 nucleotides) under Streptomyces sp. RNAcentral describes it as "bacterial SSU rRNA". It matches the Rfam family "Bacterial small subunit ribosomal RNA", at positions 94 to 866 of the family's 1533-position model. The record is from RNAcentral. Lineage: Bacteria; Bacillati; Actinomycetota; Actinomycetes; Kitasatosporales; Streptomycetaceae.
AGUGGCGAACGGGUGAGUAACACGUGGGCAAUCUGCCCUGCACUCUGGGACAAGCCCUGGAAACGGGGUCUAAUACCGGAUACUGACCCUCACGGGCAUCUGUGAGGUUCGAAAGCUCCGGCGGUGCAGGAUGAGCCCGCGGCCUAUCAGCUUGUUGGUGAGGUAAUGGCUCACCAAGGCGACGACGGGUAGCCGGCCUGAGAGGGCGACCGGCCACACUGGGACUGAGACACGGCCCAGACUCCUACGGGAGGCAGCAGUGGGGAAUAUUGCACAAUGGGCGAAAGCCUGAUGCAGCGACGCCGCGUGAGGGAUGACGGCCUUCGGGUUGUAAACCUCUUUCAGCAGGGAAGAAGCGAAAGUGACGGUACCUGCAGAAGAAGCGCCGGCUAACUACGUGCCAGCAGCCGCGGUAAUACGUAGGGCGCGAGCGUUGUCCGGAAUUAUUGGGCGUAAAGAGCUCGUAGGCGGCUUGUCACGUCGGUUGUGAAAGCCCGGGGCUUAACCCCGGGUCUGCAGUCGAUACGGGCAGGCUAGAGUUCGGUAGGGGAGAUCGGAAUUCCUGGUGUAGCGGUGAAAUGCGCAGAUAUCAGGAGGAACACCGGUGGCGAAGGCGGAUCUCUGGGCCGAUACUGACGCUGAGGAGCGAAAGCGUGGGGAGCGAACAGGAUUAGAUACCCUGGUAGUCCACGCCGUAAACGGUGGGCACUAGGUGUGGGCGACAUUCCACGUCGUCCGUGCCGCAGCUAACGCAUUAAGUG